RNAcentral lists this unclassified non-coding RNA (243 nucleotides) under Glomeraceae sp. Its description in RNAcentral is "partial contains 5.8S ribosomal RNA and internal transcribed spacer 2". The stretch from base 1 to 71 matches the Rfam family "5.8S ribosomal RNA", at positions 84 to 154 of the family's 154-position model. The record is from RNAcentral. Lineage: Eukaryota; Fungi; Glomeromycota; Glomeromycetes; Glomerales; Glomeraceae.
GUGAAUCAUCAAAUUUUUGAACGCAAAUUGCGCUUCCUGGUAUCCCGGGAAGUAUGCCUGUUUGAGGGUCAGUAUUAACAAAAAAACGGGUUGGUUUCAAAUUUUUACGGUUCCGGAGUCUGGGCUUAUCUUAACUUUUUUGGUUAAGGGGCUUAAAAUUGACCUUUUUUGCGCAUUUUUAGACGUACAUAAAUUUUUUCUUUUUUCUUCUCUUUUUAAUGCCAAAAUAUUUUUAGAUGCGAU